GGGCGCAAGCCUGAUGCAGCCAUGCCGCGUGUGUGAAGAAGGCCUUCGGGUUGUAAAGCACUUUCAGUCAGGAGGAAAGGUUAGUAGUUAAUACCUGCUAGCUGUGACGUUACUGACAGAAGAAGCACCGGCUAACUCCGUGCCAGCAGCCGCGGUAAUACGGAGGGUGCGAGCGUUAAUCGGAAUUACUGGGCGUAAAGCGUACGCAGGCGGUUUGUUAAGCGAGAUGUGAAAGCCCCGGGCUCAACCUGGGAACUGCAUUUCGAACUGGCAAACUAGAGUGUGAUAGAGGGUGGUAGAAUUUCAGGUGUAGCGGUGAAAUGCGUAGAGAUCUGAAGGAAUACCGAUGGCGAAGGCAGCCACCUGGGUCAACACUGACGCUCAUGUACGAAAGCGUGGGGAGCAAACGGGAUUAGAUACCCCGGUAGUCCACGCCGUAAACGAUGUCUACUAGAAGCUCGGAGCCUCGGUUCUGUUUUUCAAAGCUAACGCAUUAAGUAGACCGCCUGGGGAGUACGGCCGCAAGGUUAAAACUCAAAUGAAUUGACGGGGGCCCGCACAAGCGGUGGAGCAUGUGGUUUAAUUCGAUGCAACGCGAAGAACCUUACCUACACUUGACAUACAGAGAACUUACCAGAGAUGGUUUGGUGCCUUCGGGAACUCUGAUACAGGUGCUGCAUGGCUGUCGUCAGCUCGUGUUGUGAGAUGUUGGGUUAAGUCCCGCAACGAGCGCAACCCCUAUCCUUAGUUGCUAGCAGGUAAUGCUGAGAACUCUAAGGAGACUGCCGGU
Molecule: ribosomal RNA, 790 nt
Filed under: Pseudoalteromonas sp. SL4a
Lineage: Bacteria; Pseudomonadati; Pseudomonadota; Gammaproteobacteria; Alteromonadales; Pseudoalteromonadaceae
Description: bacterial SSU rRNA
Rfam family: Bacterial small subunit ribosomal RNA
Source: RNAcentral